Molecule: ribosomal RNA, 326 nt
Filed under: Amanita sp. 'pubescens sensu Coker'
Lineage: Eukaryota; Fungi; Basidiomycota; Agaricomycetes; Agaricales; Amanitaceae
Description: partial 28S ribosomal RNA
Rfam family: Eukaryotic large subunit ribosomal RNA
Source: RNAcentral
UUGGCCUCAAAUCAGGUAGGACUACCCGCUGAACUUAAGCAUAUCAAUAAGCGGAGGAAAAGAAACUAACAAGGAUUCCCUUAGUAACUGCGAGUGAAGAGGGAAGAGCUCAAAUUUAAAAUCUGACAGUGUCUUGCUGUCCGAGUUGUAAUCUAGAGAAGUGCUGCCCGUGCUGGACCAUGUACAAGUCUCCUGGAAUGGAGCGUCACAGAGGGUGAGAAUCCCGUCUUUGACAUGGACUGCCAGUGCAUUUGUGGUGUGCUCUCAAAGAGUCGAGUUGUUUGGGAAUGCAGCUCUAAAUGGGUGGUAAACUCCAUCUAAAGCUA